AACGAACGCUGGCGGCAGGCCUAACACAUGCAAGUCGAGCGAGGACUUCGGUCCUAGCGGCGGACGGGUGAGUAACGCGUGGAAACGUGCCCUUUGCUUCGGAAUAGCCCUGGGAAACUGGGAGUAAUACCGGAUGAGCCCUUUGGGGGAAAGAUUUAUCGGCGAAGGAUCGGCCCGCGUUGGAUUAGGUAGUUGGUGGGGUAAUGGCCUACCAAGCCGACGAUCCAUAGCUGGUUUGAGAGGAUGAUCAGCCACACUGGGACUGAGACACGGCCCAGACCCCCACGGGAGGCAGCAGGGGGGAAUUUUAGACAAGGGGGGAACCCCUGAUCUACCCAUGCCGGGGGAGCGAUGAAGGCCUUAGGGUUGUAAAGCUCUUUCAGCUGGGAAAAUAAUGGCGGUACCAGCAGAAGGAGCCCCGGAUAACCCCGU
This 432-nucleotide ribosomal RNA is filed under the name uncultured bacterium. Its description in RNAcentral is "partial 16S ribosomal RNA". It matches the Rfam family "Bacterial small subunit ribosomal RNA", at positions 29 to 506 of the family's 1533-position model. The record is from RNAcentral.